CUUGUCUAAAUCUAUCUCGGAUGCUGGCAGUGGAGGUGAUGGUGGAGAUGGAGGUAGGAGAAUCAACUGUAUACCUUCCCAAUUGGGAAGGCUGCGAAUCCAUACUCAAGGUUGGAAAACCAUCAAAGAGUGAAAUGAGCAAAUAAAACCCUAGGGAGAUCUGAGAAUUGAAUUUGACAGAUCUAAGAGAUAAGAGAAGAGAAAAUUAUUUGUGAAUUAUAUUAAUAAUAUAAUUAUUUAAAAAAAAUGAGAAGGAU
Molecule: unclassified non-coding RNA, 257 nt
Filed under: Hevea brasiliensis (rubber tree)
Lineage: Eukaryota; Viridiplantae; Streptophyta; Magnoliopsida; Malpighiales; Euphorbiaceae
Source: RNAcentral